This 317-nucleotide long non-coding RNA is filed under the name Physcomitrium patens. RNAcentral's name for it is "long non-coding RNA (PPAT_LNC001183)". Lineage: Eukaryota; Viridiplantae; Streptophyta; Bryopsida; Funariales; Funariaceae. The record is from RNAcentral.
AAUAAAUAAAAUAAUAAUAAUAAUAAUCAAGACAAAAAUGAUUGGGCUUUGAACUCACAUUUUUCAAUUAAAAUUGUAAGUAAAGGAUGCACAACUACCAACAAGUAUAGCAACAUAAAAUCAAAGAGGGUGAUUAAUUGAAAUGUAAGAUUAAUCACAUGCACAAAAACUCAGAAACAAUCUCUACUAAGUUUUAAAAUUUAGAUGAAAAUAUUUCCCCAUUAUACAAAAGAGUGAUAAAUCAUCAAUUUCAAGGACAAAAAAAAGACAGAAGCAAGUUUCAACAAAUGAAACGGCAGAUACAAGAAGAAAAAAAA